ACAUAAAGUUUUAAGUACGUAUUAAUAAUGAUAAUAUGUAUACUAGCUCUUGACCAAUUACGUGCCAGCAGUCGCGGUAAUACGUAGGAGACGAGCAUUAUUCAUAUUAAAUAGGUUUAAAGGGUACCCAGACGGUCAAAAUACCUUAACUAAUAAGGAGUACUUGACUAGAGUUAUAUGUGAGAAGACCGUACUUGAGGUGGAGAGAUUAUAUUCUGUGAUACCAAGGGGACUGAUAAAGGCGAAAGCUGUCUUUUAUGUAAUAACUGACGCUUGGAGGACGAAGGCAUAGAACACGAACAGGAUUUGACACCCUAGUAGUCUUUGCAGACAAUGAUGAAUGCCAUGGACUAGUCGCUAAAUAAACUACUCUUCCUAGAUUGUUACACAAUCUAGGAUGCGAGUUUAGUUUAAGCAGAAUUAGUCUAUAAAUGAAAAUGAAAGCAUUUCACCUCAAGAGUAAUGUGGCAACGCAGGAACUGAAAUCACUAGACCGUUUCUGACACCAGUAGUGAAGUAUGUUAUUUAAU
RNAcentral lists this ribosomal RNA (530 nucleotides) under Colletotrichum cordylinicola. RNAcentral's name for it is "SSU rRNA". It matches the Rfam family "Bacterial small subunit ribosomal RNA", at positions 439 to 950 of the family's 1533-position model. Lineage: Eukaryota; Fungi; Ascomycota; Sordariomycetes; Glomerellales; Glomerellaceae. The record is from RNAcentral.